AGAGUUUGAUCAUGGCUCAGAUUGAACGCUGGCGGCAGGCCUAACACAUGCAAGUCGAGCGGUAGCACAGAGAGCUUGCUCUCGGGUGACGAGCGGCGGACGGGUGAGUAAUGUCUGGGAAACUGCCUGAUGGAGGGGGAUAACUACUGGAAACGGUAGCUAAUACCGCAUAACGUCGCAAGACCAAAGUGGGGGACCUUCGGGCCUCAUGCCAUCAGAUGUGCCCAGAUGGGAUUAGCUAGUAGGUGGGGUAACGGCUCACCUAGGCGACGAUCCCUAGCUGGUCUGAGAGGAUGACCAGCCACACUGGAACUGAGACACGGUCCAGACUCCUACGGGAGGCAGCAGUGGGGAAUAUUGCACAAUGGGCGCAAGCCUGAUGCAGCCAUGCCGCGUGUGUGAAGAAGGCCUUCGGGUUGUAAAGCACUUUCAGCGGGGAGGAAGGCGGUGAGGUUAAUAACCUCAUCGAUUGACGUUACCCGCAGAAGAAGCACCGGCUAACUCCGUGCCAGCAGCCGCGGUAAUACGGAGGGUGCAAGCGUUAAUCGGAAUUACUGGGCGUAAAGCGCACGCAGGCGGUCUGUCAAGUCGGAUGUGAAAUCCCCGGGCUCAACCUGGGAACUGCAUUCGAAACUGGCAGGCUAGAGUCUUGUAGAGGGGGGUAGAAUUCCAGGUGUAGCGGUGAAAUGCGUAGAGAUCUGGAGGAAUACCGGUGGCGAAGGCGGCCCCCUGGACAAAGACUGACGCUCAGGUGCGAAAGCGUGGGGAGCAAACAGGAUUAGAUACCCUGGUAGUCCACGCUGUAAACGAUGUCGAUUUGGAGGUUGUGCCCUUGAGGCGUGGCUUCCGGAGCUAACGCGUUAAAUCGACCGCCUGGGGAGUACGGCCGCAAGGUUAAAACUCAAAUGAAUUGACGGGGGCCCGCACAAGCGGUGGAGCAUGUGGUUUAAUUCGAUGCAACGCGAAGAACCUUACCUGGUCUUGACAUCCACAGAACUUUCCAGAGAUGGAUUGGUGCCUUCGGGAACUGUGAGACAGGUGCUGCAUGGCUGUCGUCAGCUCGUGUUGUGAAAUGUUGGGUUAAGUCCCGCAACGAGCGCAACCCUUAUCCUUUGUUGCCAGCGGUCCGGCCGGGAACUCAAAGGAGACUGCCAGUGAUAAACUGGAGGAAGGUGGGGAUGACGUCAAGUCAUCAUGGCCCUUACGACCAGGGCUACACACGUGCUACAAUGGCAUAUACAAAGAGAAGCGACCUCGCGAGAGCAAGCGGACCUCAUAAAGUAUGUCGUAGUCCGGAUUGGAGUCUGCAACUCGACUCCAUGAAGUCGGAAUCGCUAGUAAUCGUAGAUCAGAAUGCUACGGUGAAUACGUUCCCGGGCCUUGUACACACCGCCCGUCACACCAUGGGAGUGGGUUGCAAAAGAAGUAGGUAGCUUAACCUUCGGGAGGGCGCUUACCACUUUGUGAUUCAUGACUGGGGUGAAGUCGUAACAAGGUAACCGUAGGGGAACCUGCGGUUG
RNAcentral lists this ribosomal RNA (1520 nucleotides) under Klebsiella pneumoniae. RNAcentral's name for it is "bacterial SSU rRNA". It matches the Rfam family "Bacterial small subunit ribosomal RNA". Lineage: Bacteria; Pseudomonadati; Pseudomonadota; Gammaproteobacteria; Enterobacterales; Enterobacteriaceae. The record is from RNAcentral. RNAcentral also lists the same sequence under 1 other name.